Molecule: transfer RNA, 72 nt
Filed under: Felis catus (domestic cat)
Lineage: Eukaryota; Metazoa; Chordata; Mammalia; Carnivora; Felidae
Also listed under: 1 other name
Rfam family: tRNA
About the family: Transfer RNA (tRNA) molecules are approximately 80 nucleotides in length. Their secondary structure includes four short double-helical elements and three loops (D, anti-codon, and T loops).
Source: Rfam by way of RNAcentral
GCCUGGCUGGCUUAGUCGGUAGAGCUUGUGACUCUUGAUCUCACGGUUGUGGGUUCAAGCCCACGUUAGGUG